Molecule: long non-coding RNA, 2194 nt
Organism: Brienomyrus brachyistius
Lineage: Eukaryota; Metazoa; Chordata; Actinopteri; Osteoglossiformes; Mormyridae
Exons: 5
Source: RefSeq, a predicted model, not a curated record
UUGCCUUCCACUACCAAUCUUCCAAGGACUUGUGAGCCUAAAUGAUGUGACUCUUCUGCUGACAAUGGGAUUCAACCAGUGACCUUCCAGUCUCAUGCACGGAGGCCUGACCAGCUGAGUCACAGGCCAACCCCAAAACCAACAGAACACAAGCGCAGAUCUGUAGCUGGGAAUUGACAUAACUAGUGCACACAUACACUUUCCCUGUAUAAGGGCAAGCAUGCAGCAAUUUGUCAUAACGCAGGUACAUACUUAUGUGCAUUUGCACUGUCAUGACAAGAAUUUACUGUGCAUUUUAACCUUCAAGUGACAAAUGGAUAUAAUAAAAUACAUGAUCAUAUCUUGUCAUAACAGUGCAAAUGCACAUAAAAUAAGUAUGCAUUGACAUUACAAGAAAUUGCCAUGUAUAUCACUUUCUCUGGCAAAAGCCUACUUGCAUAUCAGUUAGGUCAAUCCCUCUCUAUAACCUGUAGAUUUCCCCCCUCCCCCAGUGUCCCAGUCUAUGCACCCUUGUCUUUAGACCCAAUUUCAGCUGCAGAUUUUACUUCUGUGAUUGACAUACUGGUGCAAGUUGAAACAAGCUGGGGCAGUUACUGGCAUCUAGCACAUUUUAAGGGUGUAGUCAUCAGUUUCCUGACAAUAGAUCUGCUGCUGCUGUAGGCUGAAACCCUUCCUCUGACUUUCUCGAUCUUUUUUUACCUCCAUGAAAGUCGCAAACCGGGCUGCAUUCACCUCUCUCUACAUUCUUUGAGAUCUACAGCCAUAUCUGUCCGGUGAUACAUUUGUUUAGUCUUGUUUUCUUGCAGAAGUAAGCAUCCCAACAUGCUGUAGGAAGCGCGUCGUUCUCUGAAUGUAAUUGUUGUCUAGCUCGGACUCGCCGGCGUAUCGUGGUGCACAGCUAACCUGAAGCACUCCCGUCGAGGGGAGUAGUGAUCAUUCCUGAUUUGAAACAAGGGUUCAACCCAAAACCACUCAGGCCUGAACCUCAAGACGCUACAUCCGAAAGCCGCUGAAAAGGUAGCAUGGCCAACAACACAGGAGUCUUGAUCCCAUGCGAUAACAAACAGUGCAAUGGACACGGCCAUUGCUUUCUGCUGAAUAAUGUCAUCAGCUGUGAGUGUCGGCUGGGCUAUGAUGGAAACUUCUGCCAGAACCGUGUCAGCAAGCCCAUCGGCGUAGCCCUCACCCUGGGCUUUCUCGGCUGCAUUAUUGGCAUCGUUGUCUUUGCCUUCCUCUUUGCCUUCAUGAAGAAAAGGAUGAAAGCACAAAAAAGAAAAGCAGUGACUACUCAGAAAGAGGUCAUGAUGAGUGAAAGUAUAGGUCCUCUCUAGCAGAAAAGUCUGGAGCAGUCUGAGAUUUCUGGAGGAGACUGGACCCAUCCACCAACAAGGGACGUCCUCCUACUUUCGACGUUAUACCCUUCUGUAUAACCAUGAACAUCAGUACAACAUGCUAAAAUUGUCUGACAUUAUCCGGAGUCGCAUGUUUCUCGUGCUUUGGGCAGGUUUUUUUUGGGACCUCGGUUAUCGUAGACUUCCAUGUUCUUCCCUGUUCGGCAUCCGCUUUUUUUUUUCCACCUGUCACUGAGCUAAGUUGACGUGUCACCAACAAGACCAGCCGGUUCUGCAGCAGUGCUGAAAUUCCACUUCCUUGAACACCCUAGGAGCCGCCCUUUGAAGGCAGACAAGCGUCUGUCUCCGCGGGGGCUGGUUUUGGUUCUUACUUCACUCAGGUUUCGGUUGGUGUAGCUCCAGUCCUGCAAUAAGGCGGCUGUUGUGUAAAGAAUUACCCACGGUGACCUGACUUUGGUUGACAUCUUAUAAUCCUGCAGUGUUACUCUUUCAAUGUUCAUUAAUGCAGCAAUUUUUUUUUUAAUAAUUUGAGGUAACUGGUACACAUUUCAAAUUUUAUUGCAAUAUUUUGAGGUUUUCACAGUUAUAAAUGGAUGUUUGUCUUCCCAUUGUAUUUAAAUUAAUUGAUAGGUGUCAGCUUUCAUCACAUAACUUUACAGGACACAAAGAAGGCUGGAAAUACAACUCUUAGUGUGUGUUGCUGACAAGCUCAUCCGCUGCACCUCAGAUUAUUAUUAUGGUCUGCUUCAUGCAGGGUAAUGGUGUAGUUCAUGGGAUUUUUCUUCUCCUCAGUUACGACGAUGUAUGUGUGUGGGAGGGUAGGAAUAAACAUGUUUUGCUAA